CCCUUUUAUUCUUCUUCUUUAAGCAGUUAUGUCUAACAUAAAACUGUAAUUGGAAUGUUUGCAAAAUAGUGAGUAGGAACUAGAAAAAGCAUACUGUUCUCGUGACGUUAUUCAUGUCACAAUUUUCACCUUCUCUGAUUCGCUGUAGUAUGCCAAACCAAAUUAAAUGCCCAAUUUUUUUUUGGGUUCUACCAUGCUAAAGUUAUAGUAUUGAUAGACCUCCUAUCACAUGUGUACACAAGGAGAGGCAAGGGGGAGAGGGCUACACGUGGCUGAGAGUUAGUUAUGUGGGAAAGGGUUGUGUGGGAUGAGGGUGCAGGGUUUUUUGGUGUACCGAGAGUUAGUAAAUAAGAGGAAUUAUUGUAGUCAGGGUGUGGAGAAUUUGGUAAGUGGUAACCAGCAGUGGGAGAGAUUCCUGGCUCUCGAGGGAGCAAUAUUACUGUGACUAUUCAUUUCUUUGUUCUUCUAUUUCUGCUCUAAUCUCAUUUUGCAGGGAAAGUUCCUAUCAAAUUGAUACCAGAGCCCUACAUCUGAUGGGACCAAAGAAGGAUAUGCCGAUGGAGGUCAUCAAAGAGAGGAAAUGGACACUCUGAAAUCCGAGUUUGCUUCAAUGCAAAAGAAAAUGGACUUCCUCGUGGGUCACAUGACUCGGUUACUCCAAGCUUCCGGGCAACCAAGAACAGAAGCAAUCACUGCUAGUAGUAACGACCGACAGCGGAAGACAGUGGAGGCGGAGAUCUCGUCGACGUCGGGACCACCCGCAGCUGCAGUCACAGAGGGUCGACCCAUGGCCUUAUUCCGAUCAUCAAUAUGGUCGGGAUUACCGAUCACCUUAAAUGGAGCUGCCACUGUUCGCAGACGACAAUUCUGAUGGGUGGAUUUUCAGGGUUGAGCGGUAUUUUUUGCUGAAUAGAUUGUCUGAAGCACAUAUGUUAGAGGCGUCUAUCAUUGGGUUGGAAGGGGAUGCACUUUCGUGGUUCCAGUGGGAGAACCAAAGGAGGUCGAUCACUUCGUGGGUGGCGUUGAAAACCCUGUUGCUUUUGAGAUUUCGUACGGUGCUGGUUGGGUCCACGGCGAAGGAGUGGUUGUUGGUGGUUCAAGAUACCACUGUCAAAGAUUAUCAUGUGAAGUGGGAGGCAUUAGCAUCUUGGGUCACUGGGGUACCUGAACACAUUCUGGAAGGGAGUUUUGUCAAAGGGUUGAAGGAAGAGAUCAAGGGGCCUUUACACAUUGUGCUACCAGUGGGCCUAGCCCAAAUCAUGGAAACAGCCCAACGCAUAGAGGAAGGGCACCAGUUAUUAACUUCGGGCCCUAGUGUGAAGACACCCUAUAUGAAGCCCACUCCUAGUUCACUGUCGAUCCCACGAUCUCUACCAUCGAUUUCUUCCAGGAGCUCAUUGACUGCCCCCUUGUUCAGCUCGUCGACGGCGGCCCCGCUUUCUGCAGCUUAGGCCAAAACGGCGACGUCGACCAAACCGCCACUCAUUUGCUGGCUAAUAGAAGCAUAGCAUCAAGACAAAAUAGCUCGGGGAGUUUGUUUCAAAUGUGACAAAGUUCCACAGGGGACAUGAAUGUGAGCAAAAUUUUUUAUAAGUGCUGUUGAUGAUGGAUGAGGAACAAGCAUCUCUUAGUUUUGACUCUCCCACACAAACCCCAGAUUCGUCAUCCGAGGAUAUCCCAGAGGAAACAUUGACCACGCUUUCUCUCAAUUCUUUAGUGGAGAUUUCUUCAGCUCAUACAAUGAAGUUGGCUUGGAAAAUUGGUCAGCAACGAGUCACAGGGCUCAUAGAUAGUGGUGCCACACAUAAUUUCAUCUCCACAGAAGUCAUUCGGGCAACCAAAUUGCCUUUAACGGAGACUACUUGCUAUGGAAUACUGCUAGGAACAAGGAGCAAAGUGCGGGCUGAGGGGAUUUGCUCUCUAGUUAGUUUGGAUUUGGGAGUUGUAACUGACUUUCUGCCACUUGAUUUGGGAGGAGCAGAUGUCAUUCUUGGCAUUAAGUGCCUGGAACCCUGGGGGAAUGCAGGUGAAUUGGCGGACCAUGAUGAUGCGAUAUGAGGUGGCUGGUGCCUUAGUCACAUUACAAGGUGACCCAAGUCUUUGCAAGUCCCAAAUUUUGCUCAAUGUAAUGACAUGAACAGUCCAACAAGAGGGUUACGGCUAUUGGGUACAUAGUCAGAGUUCCUUAGUUCGGGAUGAUAUAGUCACAGAGGGGGUGGUUUCACAAGCAGUGUUGAGGGUUUUGGUGCAACAUGAAGGGGUCUUCAACAUGCCUUUCGGAUUACCGCCAAGACGAGUUCGAGAGCACACUAUUGCACUUAGAGAAGGGGCUGGUCCAAUAUCGGUGCGCCCUUAUCGUUGCGCACAAGUUCAAAAAGAUGAAAUUAAGCAUUUGAUGAUAGAGAUGCUACAGUCCGACAUUGUGCAGCCUAGUACUGGCCCAUUUUCGAGUCCGGUUCUCUUGGUAAAGAAGAAGGAUGGGAGCUGGAGGUUUUGCGUGGAUUAUUGAGCUUUGAAUAGAGAAACAGUGGCUGACAAAUUUCCCAUACCAGUAGUUGAUGAGCUAUUGGAUGAGUUGCAUGGGGCCACCGUCUUUUCGAAAUUGGACCUCAAAUCGUGCUACCAUUAGAUUAGAGUGGCAGUGAAAGAUGUGGAAAAACGGUUUCUCGGACUCAUGACAUUCAUUAUUUCUUGUUAUGCCAUUUGACCUCACCAAUGCUCCCGCUACUUUUCAAGUGCUUAUGAAUGAGGUAUUUCAUGAUUUUUUUGCGAAAAUUAGUCCUCGUUUUCUUUGAUGAUAUACCUGUCUACAGCUCUACGAUGGAAGCUCAUAUUGUUCAUUUGGAGUUAGUGCUCAAUCGCCUUCAGCAGCACAAGUUUUAUGCGAAUUGGAAGAAAUGUUUGUUUGGGCAGCCAAGUGUGGAUUAUCUUGGGCAUAUUAUUUCUGCAGGAGUUUCAAUUGACCCUAGUAAGAUUAAGGCCAUGCAAGAUUGGCCUACUCCUAAGUCACUUAAGGAGUUGAGGGGUUUUUUGGGGUUGACAAGAUAUUACUGCAAAUUCGUCGAAGGAUACGGUGCUAUUGCAAGACCAUUAACGGAUCAACUUUGCAAGGAUGCUUUUGGGUGGAAUUUGGAGGCACAAGAAGCUUUUGACCAACUCAAGGUCACCAUGUACUCGGUUCCUGUUUUGGCAUUGCUGGAUUUUUCAGCUCCUUUUUUGUUAGGGGCUGAUGCCUCGGGGUCGGGUUUAGGUGCUGUCCUAAUGCAGCAACAGCGAUCAAUCGCCUAUUACAGCUAGGUGUUGUCACUAAGGGCCCGCGCCAAGUCCGUCUACAAAACUGAAUUAAUUGCCAUUGUGUUGGCUAUCCAAAAAUGGCGCCCAUACUUGUUGGGAUAGAACUUUGUGGUGUGAAUGGAUCAGCGAAGUUUGAAGUACCUCCUAGAGCAGCGGUUGGUGGCUUUGGAACACCAAAAGUGGCUCACUAAACUCUUAAGAUAUGACUUCGAUAUCCACUACCGUCCUGGCCUAGAGAACAAAGUAGCUGAUGCUUUGUCACAAAUACCGCAGGAAGGAGAAUUGGCUGCCAUAUCAGCUCCUACAGUGAUUUCCAUGCCUGAUUUGCAAGCUCAUGUAUUGGUUGACCCUUUUUUGUCAAAAGUUAUCAAAGAUGUGCAGUCUUGGUCAAGCCAGCGAAGGGCAUACUUACAUUCAGGAUUGUUUAAAGUAUCGUGGUAGGUUAGUGUUGCCCUCUUCUUCGCCAUUUAUCCUUAUUAUUUUGCAAGAGUACCACAGUAGUAACGGGACCACUCGGGAGUCUUUAAAACAUUCCAAAGGCUGGCUAGUGAUCUUUAUUGGCAAGGAAUGAGAAGAUGUUCAGAAGUUUGUAGCCGAAUGUGCCAUUUGUCAACAAAACAAGUAUCUAGCAGAGUCUCCAGCCUGGUUGCUACAACCUCUUCCCAUUCCAAAUCAGAUUUGGGAAGAUAUCUCCAUGGAUUUCAUCGAAGGUCUUCCUCAUUCUAAUGGGUUUGACUCGAUUUUUGUUGUGAUAGAUCGCCUCUCUAAGUAUGGGCACUUUAUUCCGCUUCGCCAUCCUUUUUCAGCAACCACAUGGGCUGCCACAUUUGUUCGACUUCGUGGGAUUCCCCAAUCUAGUGUUUCAAACAGUGACAAAAUUUUUCUCGGCUUGUUUUUGAAAGAGCUCUUUCUCUUACAAGGUACAAGCAUGAAGCAUAGUUUCGCCCAUCACCCACAGUCUGAUGGCCAAGCCGAGGUUGUUAACGGCUUCUUAGAGGCUUAUUUGCGCUGUUUUGUCAGCUCCAAACCAGAGUAGUGGGCUAAAUGGCUCCCUUGGGCAGAAUAUUGGUACAACACUUCUUAUCACUCUUCAACUGGAAUGACUCCAUUUAAGGCUGUCUGCAAUCGAGAGCCACCACCCUUGAUUUGCUAUGAACCAGCAAG
This is a long non-coding RNA of Humulus lupulus (European hop), 4458 nucleotides long. RefSeq lists it as uncharacterized. NCBI's taxonomy places the organism in Eukaryota, Viridiplantae, Streptophyta, Magnoliopsida, Rosales, Cannabaceae. The transcript is spliced from 2 exons. The record is from RefSeq and is a predicted model, not a curated record.